This 2512-nucleotide long non-coding RNA is filed under the name Junco hyemalis (dark-eyed junco). RNAcentral's name for it is "lncRNA (ENSJHYG00000007727.1)". Lineage: Eukaryota; Metazoa; Chordata; Aves; Passeriformes; Passerellidae. The record is from RNAcentral.
CCCAGCAGUGCCAGUGAGGAAUCACACUCCUCUUUCCUGAAGUGAACCUGCAGUCAUUCAGACAAUGGAUACAGAUUGAUUUGGGUGGGUAAAAUCCCCUUUCAGUACCUGGUGCCUGCUCCACUGACACUGUUCUCUUGCAGGAUCUCCUGGAGACCUAAAUGAGGCCUCUAAAGGUUAACCUGUGGGCAGGUGUAGGAUGCCAGGAGGGAAUGUUCACCCAGCUGCUCUGAGGCUGAUGACGUGCACAGGUAACCCGAGAGCCUGUUGCACAGCUUUUGUGCCUGGGGUUGCUGUGGGAUCCUACAGAGCUGGCUGGCUCUGUCCCUGUGUGUGCCAUGCUCUUGAUGGCUCUGUUUUCUUCCUUGUCCCUGUUGUGCCAUGCCCACCCCAGCUCUGUCCCUGUGUGUGCCAUGCCUAGCUGGCUCUGUCCCUGUGUGUGCCAUGCCCACAUCACCAGGCUGUGCUGCCCCUCCUGAGCACGUGCCUUUCGGCUGUGUUUGAAUUCAAUGUGCAAUGCCUGUUGCCCAGUAACUCUCUGGCUGCAUGGUCCUAUUCUGUGCUGCCCUGUCUGGAUUAUUCAGGAAUAUCUGGGAACCUGUGUCCCUGAACUGUCUGUUAUCAGGAAGCCCUAGGAAGCUUUUACUGUACUCUGUUUAUUUUUCCAUUCCCUCCCACACCUCACACAACAUGGGGCAACAGCACAGGAUGCAGUCAAAUGGUGACCUACAAACAUCACUGUCAGCAAUAGAUGAUGCAAGAACAAGGCUGAACUUCCAGCCCAUUAGGCUCUGUGGAGCCAGGCGGCAGACGGGUGAUGUGGUGUGUCUGCAUACCUCCCCCAGGCACUGGAGAAGAGGUAAGAUGCAAAACCCUUCCUGCACUGCAAGGAGGUACAAGAUCCUUCUCAUCCUCAAGGGAACACACUGCUUCACAAACACACUGUGGCAACUUCCCGUGCCACAGGGGUGCCACGGGACAAGCUCACGGACUGUGGGAAUCACUCCUAGAAGAGACAGGGAUGGCAAAAGGAGAAGGCAUUUGCAAAGCCUUCUGAAAUGGUGCCUCCCCUGGCUAAAAGGGCUCACCUUGAAGGCACCUGAAGGGCUUCUGAGCCACUCCAGACAACUUCCCAGUGCUGACUGUCCUGUGUGAAACAAGGAACUUGGCUCAGUCAGGACGGCAGAGGUUUGUCAGAGCCUGUGUCCCACUGGAAAUGCCUUCAUUCUCCAACUUGAAGUGUUUGUCUCUUCUAUCAGCCUUGGCAGUGGGGCAGUUUAAGGGAUCACUCCACACUUCUGUUGGCAUAAAGCUGGUACCUAUUUUCCCUGUGGAAGCAGGAGUUACUGAACUGGUUUAGGUGACUGUGACUAGAGUCCCUGUGAACAGUGUGGGUUAUUUUGGCACAGGUACAGUGGAAAAGUGCUAAUCCCCUCAUCUGCACUUGUUAAACCUUUUAAUUAAAGAUCACUUUGAUGAAAGUGCAAGGCUGAGAGGUCAGGGUUUUGCUACAGCACUCACCAGAGACUCAAGAAACAGCAGCUGUGAGUGGUAGUGAGCUUUGAGAUCUGUCUUUCGAGCCCUAGUGGAAAAGAUGAAGAGGCACCAGCUCCUAUGCUCUCCAUCUCUGUGGGGCAAAGCUAGACCCAGAGGAAUUUGGGUCUGAUUCACAGCUGAGCAGGAAAGGUGACCUAGAACUGCCCCACAUCAGUGAUUUCAUGUAAGUCAUCUGACAGAUGUGUGAGGGAUUCACCAAAAGAGGGAAAUGAAUAACUUUCAAAACCACCUUGGAGGACUGGGUUCUCAGAUGAAAAAGUGCUGAAAUGUGUGGAACCCAGGAAGAAAAGUGCAGCCACAAGAGCACACGGCUCCUCUGGAAAGAAUAAGAAUGCUGUGAAUUCUGAUUGUUUGCUUGCCCUUUUUUUCCUCCUGUGGUAUUUACAGUGCCCUGGUACUCACUCAGCUUUCCUAGCUAACAGCUAGGGAGGUGGAUGGAGCUGCCUGGAAUCCUGGCACCAGACACCUGACAGGCACCUUCAUGCUUCAGGCACCCUGCAGGAGGGCAGAGCCAGCUUGGCUGUGUUCCUGUGUGGGGAACAGGACCCCAACAGAGUGGGGAUUCCCCAAUGCACCUGCCCCUCUGACUUCUGGAAGAAGUUCCUCUCAAACCUGUGUGUCAUUCCCAGGUAUCACUCCCAUUUCCCUGGGGAAAUACUGACCCUGAUGGCAGAAUAUGGUGUGUUUGAGAUGCUGAAGACACCAAACUACUGUUUGCUGGGGUCUCCAGGCUGCCAGGCUGGCUGCCAGCUUGUUAAACACUCACUGAUGUGCCAUUAGGGAGCUGAAGUGUCAUCAGUGUUAUAAACCUGAACCUGUAGCUUAAUUUAGGGGCUUGUCAGACAUAUGGUAAUGGGCUGGUAAGGCUUGGUGAAAGGUGGCAUCUGCAGGCAUCUGCACAUUUUUAAUCUAUGUAUACAAUAAAAUAUUACACAUUAGCUUUUGCUCUUGCUGG